GCAAAGUAACAGUAGAAGUAGUGGUAGUAGAGGCUGCACUACACUGUGGGAGCCAUACCUUGUAAAUGCUUUCUUUGACUGAUUGUCUAUAAAAGAAAAGAGCAGCUGCAGCUCACUGAUUAAGCAGCUCCACUUCGUGUGCUCUUCCUGAGUCCUUCUUCCUCUCAUUUUCUUCCUCCACCUGCAACCAAGAGGGUGUUGUGUGUGUGAGGGAGUGCCAACACCUACAUGAGCUUCUACAUUCCAGCACUGGGAUCGGUUGCUGCAGUUGAGGGGCCAGGAACUGUUGCUUCAAUUGCAUGAAGUAAAAAAAAAAAUCAGAGCUGCGGAGGCAACUGGGCAACAGGGCAAGUCCUUCACAAUUAAGAAUAAAGUGUGGCUACAUGCUGGGUGAAAAUGGGAAUUCAUGUCGAGUGAGAAGGGUGCAAGAAAUUCCCGUACCGUCAGGAGCCAUCUUCCUAUUUAUGAUAUUGUUUAUGACCAUUUCCGGUUUUAAGAAAAACAUAGAACUUGUCAUUUUCAAUUGUUUGGCAAUCAAAUUGUAACUUCCAUUUAAUAGUUCUAGUUGUAAUUUGAAGAGUCUUGAAUUUGUAUCUCUACGCUUGUUUGGUUUUAGUGGAUCUUGAAUGUAAUUUGAA
Molecule: long non-coding RNA, 638 nt
Organism: Panicum virgatum (switchgrass)
Lineage: Eukaryota; Viridiplantae; Streptophyta; Magnoliopsida; Poales; Poaceae
Exons: 2
Source: RefSeq, a predicted model, not a curated record